UACGAAGGGGGCUAGCGUUGCUCGGAAUGACUGGGCGUAAAGAGCUCGUAGGUGGUUUGUCGCGUUGUUCGUGAAAUCUCACGGCUUAACUGUGAGCGUGCGGGCGAUACGGGCAGACUAGAGUACUGCAGGGGAGACUGGAAUUCCUGGUGUAGCGGUGGAAUGCGCAGAUAUCAGGAGGAACACCGGUGGCGAAGGCGGGUCUCUGGGCAGUAACUGACGCUGAGGAGCGAAAGCGUGGGGAGCGAACAGG
RNAcentral lists this ribosomal RNA (253 nucleotides) under uncultured bacterium. Its description in RNAcentral is "partial 16S ribosomal RNA". It matches the Rfam family "Bacterial small subunit ribosomal RNA", at positions 524 to 776 of the family's 1533-position model. The record is from RNAcentral.